Molecule: transfer RNA, 71 nt
Filed under: Loxodonta africana (African savanna elephant)
Lineage: Eukaryota; Metazoa; Chordata; Mammalia; Proboscidea; Elephantidae
Rfam family: tRNA
About the family: Transfer RNA (tRNA) molecules are approximately 80 nucleotides in length.
Source: Rfam by way of RNAcentral
GCAGUGUUGGUUCAGUGAUAGAAUUCUCGCUUUCCACACGGGAGACCCGGGUUUGACUCCCAGCCACUGUA